This 833-nucleotide long non-coding RNA is filed under the name Solanum tuberosum (potato). Its description in RNAcentral is "long non-coding RNA (STUB_LNC000208)". The record is from RNAcentral. Lineage: Eukaryota; Viridiplantae; Streptophyta; Magnoliopsida; Solanales; Solanaceae.
AGUUUAUGGUUUUUUUUAGGUUUAUGAUUUUUAUGAUUAAGGUUUAAAUGUUUUAGGGUUUCUUAGGUUUUUUUAAGAAUUUGGAUUUCUUAAGAUUUAGGAUUACGUAGGCCUAAUAUAUGGCAUAGGAUUUUAAGUUUAGGGUUUUUUCUAGGGCUUAUGGUUUUGAAGGGAUAUUUUUUCCUCGAGUAUUAUAGUUUUAGGUGUUUAAAUGGAUUUUAGGGUGUAGGAUUUCUUGGGAUUCAAUAUGGUUUGGGGUUUAAUGUUUAGCCCUAUGAUUUAGAGUUAAGGAUUUAGAGUUUCUAAGGGUAUAUUACUUAGCGUUUAGGAUUUCUUAGGGUUUGAUUUUUUUAAGGGUUUUUAGGAUUUAGGGUUUUCGGGUUAAGAUUUUCUAGGGUUUUAUUAGGUUUAGAGAAAUUUUUAGGUUUAGGGUUUUAAGGUGUUUAGGAUUUUUAUGGUUUGUUAACGAUUAAGGGGUUCUUAGAUCUUAGGGAUUUUAUAGAGUUUUUAGGAUUUACGGUUUUUAAAACUUUAAGGUAUUAAAAGUUUUUUAGGGUUUUUUUUUAUUUCUUAAAGUUUAGGGUUUCUUAAGGUUUAGCCCUAAGGUGUAGGGUUUACUUGGGUAUAAGGUCUAUGUUUUUAUUUAAGGUUUACAAGAUUUAGGGUUUAAGUUUUUUUUUAAUUUUUUAGGUUUAGGAUUUUAAAGGGUUUUUCAAGAUUGUUGUGAUUUCCUACGAUUUAGGGAUUCUUAGGGUUUUGAAUUUCUUUGGGAUAAGGGCUUUGGAUUUUAAAUUUAGGGUUUUAGGGGUUACGGGUUUUAAGGAUGUUUUUAG